Molecule: ribosomal RNA, 454 nt
Filed under: uncultured bacterium
Lineage: Bacteria
Description: partial 16S ribosomal RNA
Rfam family: Bacterial small subunit ribosomal RNA
Source: RNAcentral
GAUGAACGCUGACAGAAUGCUUAACACAUGCAAGUCUACUUGAACUUCGGUUUGGGUGGCGGACGGGUGAGUAACGCGUAAAGAACUUGCCUCACAGUUAGGGACAACAUUUGGAAACGAAUGCUAAUACCUGAUAUUAUGAUUUUAGGGCAUCCUAGGAUUAUGAAAGCUAUAUGUGCUGUGAGAGAGCUUUGCGUCCCAUUAGCUAGUUGGAGAGGUAACGGCGCACCAAGGCGAUGAUGGGUAGCCGGCCUGAGAGGGUGAACGGCCACAAGGGGACUGGGACACGGCCCUUACGCCUACGGGAGGCAGCGGUGGGAAAUAUUGGACAAGGGACCAAAAGUCUGAUCCAGCAAUUCUGUGUGCACGAUGACGUUUUUCGGAAUGUAAAGUGCUUUCAGUUGGGAAGAAAAAAAUGACGGUACCAACAGAAGAAGUGACGGCUAAAUACGUG